This 474-nucleotide ribosomal RNA is filed under the name uncultured bacterium. RNAcentral's name for it is "bacterial SSU rRNA". It matches the Rfam family "Bacterial small subunit ribosomal RNA", at positions 335 to 799 of the family's 1533-position model. The record is from RNAcentral.
ACUCCUACGGGAGGCAGCAGUGGGGAAUAUUGCACAAUGGGCGCAAGCCUGAUGCAGCCAUGCCGCGUGUGUGAAGAAGGCCUUCGGGUUGUAAAGCACUUUCAGUCGUGAGGAAGGUAGUGUAGUUAAUAGCUGCAUUAUUUGUACGUUAGCGACAGAAGAAGCACCGGCUAACUCCGUGCCAGCAGCCGCGGUAAUACGGAGGGUGCGAGCGUUAAUCGGAAUUACUGGGCGUAAAGCGCAUGCAGGUGGUUUGUUAAGUCAGAUGUGAAAGCCCGGGGCUCAACCUCGGAAUAGCAUUUGAAACUGGCAGACUAGAGUACUGUAGAGGGGGGUAGAAUUUCAGGUGUAGCGGUGAAAUGCGUAGAGAUCUGAAGGAAUACCGGUGGCGAAGGCGGCCCCCUGGACAGAUACUGACACUCAGAUGCGAAAGCGUGGGGAGCAAACAGGAUUAGAUACCCUGGUAGGAUAGCG